Molecule: ribosomal RNA, 292 nt
Filed under: uncultured bacterium
Lineage: Bacteria
Description: partial 16S ribosomal RNA
Source: RNAcentral
GGACUACACGGGUUUCUAAUCCUGUUUGCUACCCACGCUUUCGCGUCUCAGCGUCAAUAUCGGUCCAGGCAGCCGCCUUCGCCACCGGUGUUCCUCCUGAUAUCUACGGAUUUCACUCCUACACCAGGAAUUCCACUACCCUCUCCCGUAUUCAAGUCUAUCAGUUUCCAAUGCACUUCCUGGGUUGAGCCCAGGGCUUUCACAUCAGACUUAAUAAACCGCCUACACGCGCUUUACGCCCAAUAAUUCCGAACAACGCUUGCACCCCCCGUAUUACCGCGGCUGCUGGCAC